This 254-nucleotide ribosomal RNA is filed under the name uncultured bacterium. RNAcentral describes it as "partial small subunit ribosomal RNA". It matches the Rfam family "Bacterial small subunit ribosomal RNA", at positions 26 to 285 of the family's 1533-position model. The record is from RNAcentral.
AGGACGAACGCUGGCGGCGUGCUUAACACAUGCAAGUCGAGCGGAAAGGCCCUUCGGGGUACUCGAGCGGCGAACGGGUGAGUAACACGUGAGUAAUCUGCCCCUAGCUCUGGGAUAGCUCCGGGAAACCGGGAUUAAUACCAGAUACGACCACUUUAGACAUCUGUUGUGGUGGAAAGAAUUUUGGCUAGGGAUGAGCUCGCGGCCGAUUAGCUAGUUGGCGGGGUAAUGGCCCACCAAGGCAGUGAUCGGUA